AGCGAACGCUGGCGGCAGGCCUAACACAUGCAAGUCGAACGAACCUUUCGGGGUUAGUGGCGGACGGGUGAGUAACACGUGGGAACGUGCCUUUAGGUUCGGAAUAACUCAGGGAAACUUGUGCUAAUACCGAAUGUGCCCUUCGGGGGAAAGAUUAAUCGCCUUUAGAGCGGCCCGCGUCUGAUUAGCUAGUUGGUUGAGGUAAUGGCUCACCAAGGCGACGAUCAGUAGCUGGUCUGAGAGGAUGAUCAGCCACAUUGGGACUGUGUCACGGCCCGAACUCCGACGCAAUGCAGCAAUGCGGAGUAUGGGGUGAUGGGCUUAAGCUUGCAACAGCCUUCCCCCGUGAAAGAUGAAGGCGUUAGCAGGAUAAAAUUCUCUGGCCAACGCCGUGAAAGCCGGUACCGUAAGAAGAAGCCCCGCCUCAUUUCGUC
Molecule: ribosomal RNA, 434 nt
Filed under: uncultured bacterium
Lineage: Bacteria
Description: partial 16S ribosomal RNA
Rfam family: Bacterial small subunit ribosomal RNA
Source: RNAcentral